Molecule: ribosomal RNA, 1552 nt
Filed under: Salmonella enterica subsp. enterica serovar Montevideo str. 495297-4
Lineage: Bacteria; Pseudomonadati; Pseudomonadota; Gammaproteobacteria; Enterobacterales; Enterobacteriaceae
Also listed under: 2 other names
Description: bacterial SSU rRNA
Rfam family: Bacterial small subunit ribosomal RNA
Source: RNAcentral
AAAUUGAAGAGUUUGAUCAUGGCUCAGAUUGAACGCUGGCGGCAGGCCUAACACAUGCAAGUCGAACGGUAACAGGAAGCAGCUUGCUGCUUUGCUGACGAGUGGCGGACGGGUGAGUAAUGUCUGGGAAACUGCCUGAUGGAGGGGGAUAACUACUGGAAACGGUGGCUAAUACCGCAUAACGUCGCAAGACCAAAGAGGGGGACCUUCGGGCCUCUUGCCAUCAGAUGUGCCCAGAUGGGAUUAGCUUGUUGGUGAGGUAACGGCUCACCAAGGCGACGAUCCCUAGCUGGUCUGAGAGGAUGACCAGCCACACUGGAACUGAGACACGGUCCAGACUCCUACGGGAGGCAGCAGUGGGGAAUAUUGCACAAUGGGCGCAAGCCUGAUGCAGCCAUGCCGCGUGUAUGAAGAAGGCCUUCGGGUUGUAAAGUACUUUCAGCGGGGAGGAAGGUGUUGUGGUUAAUAACCGCAGCAAUUGACGUUACCCGCAGAAGAAGCACCGGCUAACUCCGUGCCAGCAGCCGCGGUAAUACGGAGGGUGCAAGCGUUAAUCGGAAUUACUGGGCGUAAAGCGCACGCAGGCGGUCUGUCAAGUCGGAUGUGAAAUCCCCGGGCUCAACCUGGGAACUGCAUUCGAAACUGGCAGGCUUGAGUCUUGUAGAGGGGGGUAGAAUUCCAGGUGUAGCGGUGAAAUGCGUAGAGAUCUGGAGGAAUACCGGUGGCGAAGGCGGCCCCCUGGACAAAGACUGACGCUCAGGUGCGAAAGCGUGGGGAGCAAACAGGAUUAGAUACCCUGGUAGUCCACGCCGUAAACGAUGUCUACUUGGAGGUUGUGCCCUUGAGGCGUGGCUUCCGGAGCUAACGCGUUAAGUAGACCGCCUGGGGAGUACGGCCGCAAGGUUAAAACUCAAAUGAAUUGACGGGGGCCCGCACAAGCGGUGGAGCAUGUGGUUUAAUUCGAUGCAACGCGAAGAACCUUACCUGGUCUUGACAUCCACGGAAGAAUUCAGAGAUGGAUUUGUGCCUUCGGGAACCGUGAGACAGGUGCUGCAUGGCUGUCGUCAGCUCGUGUUGUGAAAUGUUGGGUUAAGUCCCGCAACGAGCGCAACCCUUAUCCUUUGUUGCCAGCGAUUCGGUCGGGAACUCAAAGGAGACUGCCAGUGAUAAACUGGAGGAAGGUGGGGAUGACGUCAAGUCAUCAUGGCCCUUACGACCAGGGCUACACACGUGCUACAAUGGCGCAUACAAAGAGAAGCGACCUCGCGAGAGCAAGCGGACCUCAUAAAGUGCGUCGUAGUCCGGAUUGGAGUCUGCAACUCGACUCCAUGAAGUCGGAAUCGCUAGUAAUCGUGGAUCAGAAUGCCACGGUGAAUACGUUCCCGGGCCUUGUACACACCGCCCGUCACACCAUGGGAGUGGGUUGCAAAAGAAGUAGGUAGCUUAACCUUCGGGAGGGCGCUUACCACUUUGUGAUUCAUGACUGGGGUGAAGUCGUAACAAGGUAACCGUAGGGGAACCUGCGGUUGGAUCACCUCCUUACCUUAAAGAA